Molecule: unclassified non-coding RNA, 252 nt
Filed under: uncultured Pleosporales
Lineage: Eukaryota; Fungi; Ascomycota; Dothideomycetes; Pleosporales
Description: sequence contains 5.8S rRNA gene, ITS2, 28S rRNA gene
Source: RNAcentral
AACGCACAUUGCGCCCCUUGGUAUUCCAUGGGGCAUGCCUGUUCGAGCGUCAUUUGUAUCUUCAAGCUUUGCUUGGUGUUGGGUGUUUGUCCUGCUCUAUGCGUGGACUCGCCUUAAAUCAAUUGGCAGCCGGUAAUCUGGUGUUAAGAGCGCAGCACAUUGUGCGCUCCUCGCUGUGUAUUGCGGCGUCCAUUAAGCCUAUAUUUUUUUGCUCUUGACCUCGGAUCAGGUAGGGAUACCCGCUGAACUUAA